UACAGAGGGUGCGAGCGUUAAUCGGAAUCAUUGGGCGUAAAGCGCGCGUAGGUGGCUUCGUAAGUCCGUUGUGAAAGUCAAAGGCUCAACCUUUGAAAGCCGAUGGAUACUGCGGAGCUAGAGUACGGAAGAGGCGAGUGGAAUUCCUGGUGUAGCGGUGGAAUGCGCAGAUAUCAGGAGGAACACCAAUAGCGAAGGCAGCUCGCUGGGACGUUACUGACACUGAGGCGCGAAAGCGUGGGGAGCGAACAGG
Molecule: ribosomal RNA, 253 nt
Filed under: uncultured bacterium
Lineage: Bacteria
Description: partial 16S ribosomal RNA
Rfam family: Bacterial small subunit ribosomal RNA
Source: RNAcentral